Non-coding RNA from Podarcis lilfordi (Lilford's wall lizard), 68 nucleotides. The record is from the annotation of a GenBank genome assembly. NCBI's taxonomy places the organism in Eukaryota, Metazoa, Chordata, Lepidosauria, Squamata, Lacertidae.
UAUUUGUGUUUGAGGGGAAUGAAUAUAUAUAUAUAUAUAUAUAUAUUCAUUCCCCUCAAACACAAAUA